GUGGGCGUAGCUCAAUGGUAGAGCAGCGGUCUCCAAAACCGCAGAUGCCGGUUCGAGCCCGGCCGCCUAUGCCA
This 74-nucleotide transfer RNA is filed under the name Myxococcales bacterium. Its description in RNAcentral is "tRNA-Trp". It matches the Rfam family "tRNA". Rfam says of the family: Transfer RNA (tRNA) molecules are approximately 80 nucleotides in length. Their secondary structure includes four short double-helical elements and three loops (D, anti-codon, and T loops). Further hydrogen bonds mediate the characteristic L-shaped molecular structure. tRNAs have two regions of fundamental functional importance: the anti-codon, which is responsible for specific mRNA codon recognition, and the 3' end, to which the tRNAs corresponding amino acid is attached (by aminoacyl-tRNA synthetases). tRNAs cope with the degeneracy of the genetic code in two manners: having more than one tRNA (with a specific anti-codon) for a particular amino acid; and 'wobble' base-pairing, i.e. permitting non-standard base-pairing at the 3rd anti-codon position. Lineage: Bacteria; Pseudomonadati; Myxococcota; Myxococcia; Myxococcales. The record is from RNAcentral.